GCAAUGCAGUACAUAGACUGAAAUUAAACCAACCCACAGAAGAUUGGCAUGGCUCCUGGGCAAGAAUGUCAGGCACUUUUAUGAAACAUUCCAAAUUUUU
This 100-nucleotide small nuclear RNA is filed under the name Vombatus ursinus (common wombat). The record is from RNAcentral. Lineage: Eukaryota; Metazoa; Chordata; Mammalia; Diprotodontia; Vombatidae.